Molecule: unclassified non-coding RNA, 251 nt
Filed under: Hevea brasiliensis (rubber tree)
Lineage: Eukaryota; Viridiplantae; Streptophyta; Magnoliopsida; Malpighiales; Euphorbiaceae
Source: RNAcentral
CAUUCCAGAAGGUGCCACUUUAUUAGGCGGCACGAAGAUCGAGGACUAUCCGAAGGAAUUCGAUAGAUGGUAUGUUGUCUUGGGGGAAAACGCGACUGAUGUGGGGAUUACUGGUGGCGGUGUGGUAGAUGGGCAAGGGCUAAAGUUUGUGCAGAGAUUUAAUGAGGUGAAAAAUGUGAUGGUGAGUUGGAAUCAGAGUGGGGCUUGUUUGGGAGAUGAGUGUAGGCCGAGGCUUGUUGGAUUUAUUGGCU